Molecule: ribosomal RNA, 1415 nt
Filed under: uncultured bacterium
Lineage: Bacteria
Description: bacterial SSU rRNA
Rfam family: Bacterial small subunit ribosomal RNA
Source: RNAcentral
CUUCGGGAUAGUGGCAAACGAGUGAGUAACGCGUAGGAAACCUGCCUCAAAGUGGGGAAUAGCUCGGAGAAAUCCGAGGUAAUACCGCAUGAUUCUUGAUUCAUACAUAUUUUUCAAGAUAAAGACUUCGGUCGCUUUGAGAUGGUCCUGCGUCCUAUCAGCUUGUUGGUGAGGUAACGGCUCACCAAGGCUAUGACGGGUAGCUGGCCUGAGAGGGUGGUCAGCCACGCUGGGACUGAGACACGGCCCAGACUCCUACGGGAGGCAGCAAUUAGGAAUCUUGCGCAAUGGGGGAAACCCUGACGCAGCGACGCCGCGUGGAGGAUGAAGGCCUUCGGGUUGUAAACUCCUUUUAUAGGGGAGCAAGUUCUGAUAGUACCCUAUGAAUAAGCAGCUGCUAACUACGUGCCAGAAGCAUCGGUGAUACGUAGGCUGCUAGCGUUAUCCGGAAUUACUGGGCGUAAAGAGAUGCGUAGGCGUUUCGGCAAGUCCUUCGUCAAAGCCUCCUGCUCAACGGGAGAAAGGCGAAGGAAACUGCUGAAAUUGAGGCAGGGAGGGGAAAGUGGAAUUUCUGGUGGAGCGGUGAAAUGCGUUGAUAUCAGAAGGAACACUCGUAGCGAAAGCGACUUUCUGGCCCUGUUCUGACGCUAAGGCUCGAAAGCGUGGGUAGCAAAACGGAUUAGAUACCCGUGUAGUCCACGCUGUAAACGAUGGACAUUAGGUGUUCGGUUCAAAAUCAGGAGUUCCGAUUCGUCGGAACACCUGACUAGGACUGAGUGCCACAGCUAACGCAUUAAAUGUCCCGCCCGGGGAGUACGGCCGCAAGGCUAAAACCCAAAGGAACUGACGGGGACCCGCACAAGCAGUGGAGCGUGUGGUUUAAUUCGAUGCCAAUCGAAGGACCUUACCAGGGCUUGACAUGUAUCUGCAAGGUUAUCGAAAGAUAGCCCGCCUUAGAGGGUGAUACACAGGUGCUGCAUGGCUGUCGUCAGCUCGUGUCGUGAGAUGUUGGGUUAAGUCCCACAACGAGCGCAGCCCUUACCCAGUGUUAUAAGUGUCUCUGGGAACUGCCCUGCCAAAACGGGGAGGAAGGUGGGGACGACGUCUAGUCAUCAUAGCUCUUACGUCCUGGGCCACACACGCGCUACAAUGGCCGGUACAAUAGGUUGCCAAGCGGCAACGCGGAGCUAAUCCUUAAAACCGGUCUCAGUUCGGAUUGAGGGCUGAAAUUCGCCCUCAUGAAGUUGGAAUUGCUAGUAAUCGCGGAUCAGCAUGCCGCGGUGAAUACGUUCUCGGGUCUUGUACACACCGCCUGUCACAUUACGAAAGUCGGAAGUACCCGAAGACACCAUUAGCCUGAGUGAAGGUGUCGAAGGUAAAGCCGGCAAUUAGAAUGAAGUCGUAACAAGGUAACC